This is a long non-coding RNA of Sapajus apella (tufted capuchin), 279 nucleotides long. RefSeq lists it as uncharacterized. The transcript is spliced from 2 exons. Lineage: Eukaryota; Metazoa; Chordata; Mammalia; Primates; Cebidae. The record is from RefSeq and is a predicted model, not a curated record.
AGUAGCUGGAAUUACAGGCAUGUGCCACCACGCCCAGAAUUUCAGACAAAAAUCAGGCACUGUCACCAGAAGACUGCUGACCACGUGACGUCUGCCAGGCAUCAGGAAGACGACCAGCCUCCCUAACGAAUGAAAGAAACUUCACCUGACCGUGUUUGGUACAUUUCGUUUGGGAGUCUUUUAAAAAAUGGGUACUUGUACUACUGGGUUCAGGUUUUCAGCUGUGGAAUAUUCUAGAAAAAACAGCGAUAACACUUAUUUCACCGCUCUAACCCUGAA